Molecule: small nuclear RNA, 159 nt
Filed under: Triticum aestivum (bread wheat)
Lineage: Eukaryota; Viridiplantae; Streptophyta; Magnoliopsida; Poales; Poaceae
Description: U1 spliceosomal RNA
Rfam family: U1 spliceosomal RNA
About the family: U1 is a small nuclear RNA (snRNA) component of the spliceosome (involved in pre-mRNA splicing). Its 5' end forms complementary base pairs with the 5' splice junction, thus defining the 5' donor site of an intron. There are significant differences in sequence and secondary structure between metazoan and yeast U1 snRNAs, the latter being much longer (568 nucleotides as compared to 164 nucleotides in human).
Source: Rfam by way of RNAcentral
AUACUUACCUGGACGGGGUCGACGGCUGAUUAAGAAGAGUCGUGGCCUAGGCUAGUGGUCCACAUUGCACUUGGUGGAUGCGCUGGCUUAUCAUCUCCCCAAGUGGGAGAGUGGACGUCGUAAUUUGUGGUAGAGGGGCUACGCGUUCGUGCAGCCCCU